RNAcentral lists this ribosomal RNA (253 nucleotides) under uncultured bacterium. RNAcentral's name for it is "partial 16S ribosomal RNA". It matches the Rfam family "Bacterial small subunit ribosomal RNA", at positions 524 to 776 of the family's 1533-position model. The record is from RNAcentral.
UACAGAGGGUGCGAGCGUUGUUCGGAAUUACUGGGCGUAAAGCGUGCGCAGGCGGUUUCUUAAGUCAGAUGUGAAAGCCCCGGGCUUAACCUGGGAACUGCGUUUGAAACUGGGAGACUUGAGUGUGGCAGAGGGGGGUGGAAUUCCACGUGUAGCAGUGAAAUGCGUAGAUAUGUGGAGGAACACCGAUGGCGAAGGCAGCCCCCUGGGUUAACACUGACGCUCAUGCACGAAAGCGUGGGGAGCAAACAGG